UACGGGGGGGGCAAGCGUUAUUCGGAAUUACUGGGCGUAAAGGGCUCGUAGGCGGCCAACUAAGUCAGACGUGAAAUCCCUCGGCUUAACCGGGGAACUGCAUCUGAUACUGGAUGGCUUGAGUUCGGGAGAGGGAUGCGGAAUUCCAGGUGUAGCGGUGAAAUGCGUAGAUAUCUGGAGGAACACCGGUGGCGAAGGCGGCAUCCUGGACCGACACUGACGCUGAGGAGCGAAAGCCAGGGGAGCAAACGGG
Molecule: ribosomal RNA, 253 nt
Filed under: uncultured bacterium
Lineage: Bacteria
Description: partial 16S ribosomal RNA
Rfam family: Bacterial small subunit ribosomal RNA
Source: RNAcentral